UGGGGAAUAUUGCACAAUGGGCGCAAGCCUGAUGCAGCAACGCCGCGUGAGGGAUGACGGCCUUCGGGUUGUAAACCUCUUUUAGUAGGGAAGAAGCGAAAGUGACGGUACCUGCAGAAAAAGCACCGGCUAACUACGUGCCAGCAGCCGCGGUAAUACGUAGGGUGCGAGCGUUGUCCGGAAUUAUUGGGCGUAAAGAGCUCGUAGGCGGUCUGUCGCGUCUGCUGUGAAAACCCGAGGCUCAACCUCGGGCCUGCAGUGGGUACGGGCAGACUAGAGUGCGGUAGGGGAGAAUGGAAUUCCUGGUGUAGCGGUGGAAUGCGCAGAUAUCAGGAGGAACACCGAUGGCGAAGGCAGUUCUCUGGGCCGUAACUGACGCUGAGGAGCGAAAGCGUGGGGAGCGAACAGGAUUAGAUACCCUGGUAGUCCACGCCGUAAACGUUGGGCGCUAGAUGUGGGGACCAUUCCACGGUUUCCGUGUCGCAGCUAACGCAUUAAGCGCCCCGCCUGGGGAGUACGGCCGCAAGGCUAAAAC
This 535-nucleotide ribosomal RNA is filed under the name uncultured bacterium. RNAcentral describes it as "partial 16S ribosomal RNA". It matches the Rfam family "Bacterial small subunit ribosomal RNA", at positions 355 to 900 of the family's 1533-position model. The record is from RNAcentral.